UCCCUCUUAGCUCAGUGGUAGAGCGCGUCACUAGUAUUAUCCUAUGACGAGGUCAGUCGUUCAAGUCGGCUAGAGGGAA
Molecule: transfer RNA, 79 nt
Filed under: Cylindrobasidium torrendii FP15055 ss-10
Lineage: Eukaryota; Fungi; Basidiomycota; Agaricomycetes; Agaricales; Physalacriaceae
Rfam family: tRNA
About the family: Transfer RNA (tRNA) molecules are approximately 80 nucleotides in length. Their secondary structure includes four short double-helical elements and three loops (D, anti-codon, and T loops).
Source: Rfam by way of RNAcentral